Molecule: non-coding RNA, 5491 nt
Organism: Podarcis lilfordi (Lilford's wall lizard)
Lineage: Eukaryota; Metazoa; Chordata; Lepidosauria; Squamata; Lacertidae
Source: the annotation of a GenBank genome assembly
CAGCCAGAUAAGGCAUUAUCAGAUAACCUGGCAGACAGGAAAAACAACAACAUUCAAAUUUCUGUGAUGGUAGGUAUGAGGUUUGUAGGGGGUGGUCUUGGGUUACACCCCUUCUGUGAUGUAUGUAUGAUGUAUGGAGGGGUGGUCUUGAGCUCCAGGGAAGGCAAUUUAAAAUGUCUAUAUAAGGGCGGUCACACCUUGGUUCUGGGUCCUCCUCCUUUCCUGCGUGUGAGGGGAGCACCCUGUUGCAACAGAUCAAUAAAGAUCAGGCUUAGGAGCUGCUUUGCUUCUCAAUAUUCUCUGGUUGGCCUCUGUUGUCUUCUCCUACCGAUGGAGAACCUACAAAAGACUCUAUAAGGGCUCUUGUGUCCCCCAUAAGGGAAUAAGGGCAGAUUUUGUUUACAACAAUCUAUAUGAUCAUGGGACAUCCAGAAAGCUAUAUAAGAACACAAGUCCUUCCCAAAGGAAGUCUCUCCUCCGAGAUAUAAGGACUUGUUAGAAAAUAAAACCCCAAGAUGGUUGUCACCAAUGGAAGCAAAGGCUCAGAAAAAACUCAGUAUGGAGGCCAAAUGGCCGAAGUAUUGGGAAAUCUUGGAACAAGAGGGAGACAGAUUAAAAUUGCAGAGCUUUGAAAAAUUAAAAAACAGAGUACGAGAUUGGCUCCAUUACUAUCAAAUAAUGGAGGCAUAUAAUUUGGAUAAAAAAUUAAGCUUCCAGGUGGAAAAAUCAAAAUUGGAAACAGAAUUGUUAGACUCUAAAGUUAAGAAUUUGUCAAGAAUGUAUAACUUGCUGCUGAAAUGGAAUACUCAAGAUGAAAUGGUGAAAUCUGCUAUGAUUAAAUGGGCACACGAUGUUGGACAUAAUAUUAUGAUGGCUGACUGGGAACAGUUAUGGACCACUGGUAUGAAGUUUACGGCAUGUAAUGCCUUAAAAGAGAAUUUAAUGAAAAUGAUUUACAGGUGGUACAUAACACCAGUCAAGCUUGCAAAAAUCUACCAUUUGCCCGAUAAUAAAUGUUGGAAAUGUAAUGAAACUGAAGGUACAUUCUUUCACCUUUGGUGGACAUGCCCAAAGAUUAAGGCAUUCUGGGAGAUGAUCUAUAAUGAAAUGAAAAAGGUAUUUAAAUAUACCUUCCUGAAGAAACCAGAGGCCUUUCUCCUGGGCAUGGUAGGCCAAUUGGUGCCAAAGAAGGAUAGAAUUUUUUUCAUGUAUGCCACAACAGCAGCAAGAAUACUUAUCGCAAAGCACUGGAAGACACAAGAUUUACCCACCAGGGAAGAAUGGCAGAUGAAGCUGAUGGACUACAUGGAACUGGCGGAAAUGACUGGCAGAAUCCGAGACCAGGGAGAAGAGUCGGUGGAAGAAGAUUGGAAAAAAAUUUAAAGUAUAUUUACAGAAAUAUUGCAAAAUUAAUGAAUGUUAGAAGGAUGCUGGAAUGAAGCUAUAUGGCUUUAGCAGAAAAGUUAUAAAGAAUUAAGUAAAAAUAGAUUGUUAAUGGACCAAUGUGGAAAAUUUAAGGUUAGAGUGUCUUAAGUUAAAUUCUAGAACGAAAAUUGAGAAAGAUGGAAAGGACUUGCUGAAAUAGCUAAUUGAACUAGAAUACAAAAAAGGGAGGUGUGAGGAGGUCGAUGAAACAAGUAUAUGAAAGGUAAAGAUAUGGAAAGGUUGGAUGUGUUUUUAAAUGUUUUUGUUCUUUUUUGUUGUUGUUUUAUUGUAUUGUUUUAUAAUUUUUUUUGAUGUAAGGUAUUGUUUUGUUUUGUUUAAUUCUUUAUUGUUCUCUUGCUUUUUCUGUAACUUGUAAACUCUUAAUAAAUAUCUUUUAAAAAAAGAAAAAGGAAGUCUCUCCUCUGAGAAAUCCAGCGGCCUGAGACUCCUGGCUAGGAGACACGUGAGAGUCAGGGAGAGCCAGCACAGCACGCCACCCUUUGAGAACGACUCUUCUCAUAUCGGAGAGUACAAAACCUUGUAAACAUGGGACAGUAGUUUAUGACUUGAGGGUGGGGCUCAAGUAACCCAGAACUAAUAAGUCCCUCUGAGUUCAAUGGGGCCAACUCUCAGGUAUAGUCCUAAUUAAUCCCCUGGAAUUUGUAAUUGCACAGUGGCACCUUGAGAGCCAGCUUUUCCUUGGGAGGUGGUUACUACUACUACUACUACUACUACUACCAAUAAUAAUAUUGUUGUUAUUGUUAUUAAAUUUGUAAACGUAAAAAAAAAAAUUCGCAAAUUUGUAAUUCGUAAAUUAAAUCUUUAUUAAAGCCUAUGCAAAACGACCUGGCCAAGCUAGGGCCAUUGAGAAACGAUACAGGGCCAUUGAGAGAACCUUCCUCCUUCCUUGCCCUGUGGGGUGAACAGAGACUGGAGAUUUGGAAGGUUGCCAGGGUCACUGGGUGUGAAGUGACAGGAGGAGAGGCUUGGAAUCAUAGAAUUGUGGCGUUGGAAGGGAUCCAAGGGUCAUCUAGUCCAACCCCCUGCAAUGCAGAAAUCUCAGUUAAAGCAUCCUUGACAGAUGGCCAUCCAACCUCUGCUUAAAAACCUCCAAGGAAGGAGAGUUAACAACCUCCCAAGGGAGACAGUUCCACUGUCAAACAGCUCUUACUGUCAGAAAGAUUUUCUGUAUGUUUAGUCAGAAUCUCCUUUGGUUCCGUAUGUUUCAUUGGAAGUCAUUGGUUCAAGUCCUACCCUCUAGAGCAGGAUAAAACAAGCAUGUUCCCCCUUCCACGUGACAGCCCUUAAGAUGUUUGAAGAUGGUUAUAUCUCCUCUCGGUCUCCUCUUUUCCUGGCUAAACAUACCAGCUCCUUCUACCAUUCCUCCUAAGGCUUGGUUUCCACAGCAAGUGUUGCUGGGAAGAAGAAGUGGGAAGAAAGACUGGGAUCUGGACUCCCUCCAUGAAGACUGAAGGUGUAAACAGGUGAAUAAACCGUAUUUCUUAAAGCUACAACAUUGUCCUGAACACACUGUUAACAUGUUUUGUAAUGAGGAAUGUUCAAUAAAAGGACAACUGGAGGGGCCUUUACUUUGUUAUAUAUUCUACUUACAUUCAUGCCAGGCUGAAGCCCAGACCUACUGAGAAAGCCACUCCCCUUCCCCGGGGUGGUGGAGUUGUGGGUGGGCAGCCGGGACCUCCCUGUGACCUGGCAGGGGGCAGAGGGAUGCCACCCACGUCAUUAGGGCUCCCAGCCACGUCACACCCCUUGGCCGACCAAUCGGGAUAGCUGGGGGUGUGACCAAUGCUGUUUAAACUGCGGUGCAGCUGGGGGGGGGGCAACCUCUAUUCGCCUUCUUGUCGGGUCUCCCAGCCCACCCACCCUCUUUUUUUAUGUGUUGCUUGACUGUGGCCUUGCUAUGACUAAUGUCGGCCGCCUGGUUGUGGGGGCCAGGGAGGAAUUUUUCCACUUGGCAAAUUGGCACCAGCCAUUCGGUUUUCGCCUGCCUUGUAGCAAUCGUCACAGCUUUGUAAGGCUAGGCAUUGGGUAAGCCUUGUCAUGGGGGGGGCGGUUGUUGCCUCUGGCCUGCCCCUCCACGUUAAGGGUAUCCCAUUAAAGGGAUCCAGGGGUGUGGAGCCUGUCCGAAGCCUGGGCUAGGGCCCUGCCACGGCCCCAUCGGUGACCCUGGGGGUGCUCUUAAUUGAUGUAUAUCAUAGGACUCCCCCUCUCGGUGGUUGACCCUUCAGAGACUUCCUGCAGACGGUCAGGAGUCAGGAUAUAGUCUGGCUUCACCCAAAUGCCUAAGCCAAACCGCUCACAUCUGUAACCAAUAAAGUUGUAGCCUACUUUAUCCCAAUUAACCCAAUCUAUUUGUGUCUGUGUGUUUAUUUCAGAGGGAACUGGGGGGCCUGGGGCCUCGCUACACAACCAAACAACAAAGAAAGGGAAAGAAGAAAACAAAGAGAAGGUGAGUCGGUAGGAAGAGAAAGAAAGUGAAGGGGGAAAUGGAAGUCUUGUGUUUCAGGAGUCUCUCUUCAAUAUAUAAACACUUUUCCUCACACAGUGAGCUCUGCUGUGACUUUACUUGAGGGGUUCUCAACUUUCUACAGGAGGACCCACUUGAGUUGAGACAGUUGAAAAGUACUGACACCCAUCCCAGCAUAAUUGGCCAGCAGUUGAAGACAUCCUUUUCUGAUUUCUUUCCGCAGGGCCUGUAAGACAGAGUUGUUCCGCCUGGCCUUUGGCUUGGAGCCAGUUUGAUUCCCUCCCCCUCUUUCUUUUUUCUUUUCCUUUCUCCUCCUGUGAUGAGGCUACAUUUUAAUGUUUCAAUAUUUGAAUGUUGUAUUUUAAUUUUGUUUUUAAGUUGUAUUCAUUCAACUUAUUUUUAUUAUUGCUUGUUAGCCGCCCUGAGCCUUGGCUGGGGAGGGCGGGGUAUAAAUAAAUAUUAUUAUUAUUAUUAUUAUUAUUAUUAUUAUUAUUAUUUUCUAUCUCUUCAGAAUUACGUCCCCUUGAGUGCAAUAGAACUUAAUUUUUCUGGUAAAUGGCAAUAGCAGAGGUUAGCCUUUUUGAGUCCACGGCUCCCUUGGCCAACUAUAUUCUUUCUGUGACACCCCUGUGGGGGUCAGGAGCCCAGUUAGGUCACCUCUCCUGUAAAGGAGCCCUGGGGUGUUUGGAGAAAGCAGUAGAAUUGGCAGCUGUAACUGUACUUGCCUUCCCUGCUUUCCUCGCCUCCAUCUAUGAUCUGUAGUCCAUAGCACAAAACAAAAUGUAUUUCCCAGUCGCUACUUAUUUUUGCCACAUUAUUUGUCCAUAUUUUGGGCUUACUCUAGGUGGCGCUAUCUGCCAGUUUCCCCCUUUGCUUAUAAUGGAAUGGCGCCACAAUCAUAAAGGGAAACAGUUUUUAAAUAAACUUUAACCAAACAAAAUGUUCACUGCUGCUAUUACUGUAUUUAUAUCUCCCAUAUUUCAAGUACAGUGGUACCUUGAUUCUCAAACUUAGUCCGUUCAACUUCCAAAGCGUUCUAAAACCAAGGCACACUUUCCCAUAGAAAGUAAUGCAAAAUGAAUUAAUCCGUUCCAGACUUUUAAAAAGUACAAGUAGUGUCAGGAGGAGAUCAGAUCUCCCUAUUCUCCCUCAAUAGCAGUCAAGGGGAGAGGGGCAAAUGAAGUGGGACAGUACUUCUGGCGGAGAAGUUUAAUCCUUUCCUAGUGCCAUGUUCCCAAUUAAAAUCGCACCAUCAGGUUGUUUGUCCUAUAGGGGAAAACACACAUGCACAAAUAAAUGAUUCUAUGAAAUAGCAGCUUUGGGGGGGCUUUGUUUAAAAAUGCAGCAGAUCCCCAAUGUCACACUGAGUUUGGCUCUUAGCUAUAGAAUCUCCUCCUUAUUCUAGCUGCCUGUCUGGCUGCAGUGAGCUGUACUUGGUGAUGAGAUAAUACUAAGGCGGAUACCUUAUGUCUUGAGAGGAACAAUGGAAAUAUCAUCACCCGAUUUUGCUCAACAUGGUCCUCCUUUUGGGAGCGCAGCAGCAUUUUGUAUACAAUGUGAGUAAACAAUAAAGAAGUAAGG